AGUGAACGCUGGCGGUAGGCCUAACACAUGCAAGUCGAACGGCAGCACAGUAAGAGCUUGCUCUUACGGGUGGCGAGUGGCGGACGGGUGAGGAAUACAUCGGAAUCUACUUUUUCGUGGGGGAUAACGUAGGGAAUCUUACGCUAAUACCGCAUACGACCUACGGGUGAAAGCAGGGGAUCUUCGGACCUUGCGCGAUUGAAUGAGCCGAUGUCGGAUUAGCUAGUUGGCGGGGUAAAGGCCCACCAAGGCGACGAUCCGUAGCUGGUCUGAGAGGAUGAUCAGCCACACUGGAACUGAGACACGGUCCAGACUCCUACGGGAGGCAGCAGUGGGGAAUAUUGGACAAUGGGCGCAGGCCUGAUCCAGCCAUACCGCGUGGGUGAAGAAGGCCUUCGGGUUGUAAAGCCCUUUUGUUGGGAAAGAAAAGCAGCAGGUUAAUACCCCGCUGUUCUGACGGUACCCAAAGAAUAAGCACCGGCUAACUUCGUG
RNAcentral lists this ribosomal RNA (492 nucleotides) under uncultured bacterium. RNAcentral's name for it is "partial 16S ribosomal RNA". It matches the Rfam family "Bacterial small subunit ribosomal RNA", at positions 29 to 507 of the family's 1533-position model. The record is from RNAcentral.